UUGUCCUCCAAAUAUAUCCGGUGCGUGCAAAUUAAAGGGCUAAUCCCCUUCAAGUCUGCAAUAGACCACCCUAAAGCUCCUCUAUGAUUCUUUAGAACACCAAGUAAUUUUCUUUCUUGGGCAUGAUCAAGAUCAGAUGAGAUGAUUAUAGGAAAAGUGUCAUUGGAUCCAAGAAAGGCAUACUUGAGUUCCUUCGGUAAAGGUUUCAACUCGAGCUUAGGUGCUUGUUCAUGGGAUGGUACUAUCUUUGCUCCUCGAGAUGGC
Molecule: long non-coding RNA, 264 nt
Filed under: Phoenix dactylifera (date palm)
Lineage: Eukaryota; Viridiplantae; Streptophyta; Magnoliopsida; Arecales; Arecaceae
Description: long non-coding RNA (PDAC_LNC009028)
Source: RNAcentral